This 276-nucleotide ribosomal RNA is filed under the name Triticum aestivum (bread wheat). Its description in RNAcentral is "partial small subunit ribosomal RNA". The record is from RNAcentral. Lineage: Eukaryota; Viridiplantae; Streptophyta; Magnoliopsida; Poales; Poaceae.
AUGCCGACGUCGCCACCGUCGCUCCUGGACCUCCUGAGCCCCUCUCCUCCGCCUGCUCCUUCGCCGGCGGCGUCGGCUGGCGCCACGGUGGUGCAGGUGGUGCCGAUGGACGUCUCCGAGGAGCUGCUGGGCAAGUUCAUGGACGCCAGCGAGUUCGGCUUCGACUACGACACGAGCGGCCUCUGGUCCCCGCUCGUCCUCGCGCUCGCCUCGGGCCGCGCCAAGCGUCCACGCCCGCGCCGGAGCUGGAGAAGGAAGAUGUUUUGCUGCUGGUGA